UUCUUAUUGUAUGAUGAUUGUCACGUGUCAUGUGUGUCAUGUUCUGAUUCGAUGUCAACUCCAUGAAAGAUGAAAUGCAUUGUUAUUUUUAUUAACUAAUUAGAACAUGACACACAUGAGACGUGACAGUCAUCAUCC
Molecule: non-coding RNA, 138 nt
Organism: Glycine soja
Lineage: Eukaryota; Viridiplantae; Streptophyta; Magnoliopsida; Fabales; Fabaceae
Source: Rfam